This 722-nucleotide ribosomal RNA is filed under the name uncultured bacterium. RNAcentral describes it as "bacterial SSU rRNA". It matches the Rfam family "Bacterial small subunit ribosomal RNA", at positions 66 to 801 of the family's 1533-position model. The record is from RNAcentral.
GCGGAAGUUUUCGGAUGGAAGCAAUAAACCUUAGCGGCGGACGGGUGAGUAACGCGUGGGUAACCUGCCUCAUACAGGGGGAUAACAGUUAGAAAUGACUGCUAAAACCGCAUAAGCGCACAUUGUCGAGUGACAGAGUGUGAAAAACUCCGGUGGUAUGAGAUGGACCCGCGUCUGAUUAGCUAGUUGGUGAGGUAACGGCCCACCAAGGCGACGAUCAGUAGCCGGCCUGAGAGGGCGACCGGCCACAUUGGGACUGAGACACGGCCCAAACUCCUACGGGAGGCAGCAGUGGGGAAUAUUGCACAAUGGGGGAAACCCUGAUGCAGCGACGCCGCGUGAGUGAAGAAGUAUUUCGGUAUGUAAAGCUCUAUCAGCAGGGAAGAAGAAAGACGGUACCUGACUAAGAAGCCCCGGCUAACUACGUGCCAGCAGCCGCGGUAAUACGUAGGGGGCAAGCGUUAUCCGGAUUUACUGGGUGUAAAGGGAGCGUAGACGGCUGUGCAAGUCUGAAGUGAAAGCCCAGGGCUCAACCCUGGGACUGCUUUGGAAACUGUGGAGCUAGAGUGCUGGAGAGGUAAGUGGAAUUCCUAGUGUAGCGGUGAAAUGCGUAGAUAUUAGGAGGAACACCAGUGGCGAAGGCGGCUUACUGGACAGUAACUGACGUUGAGGCUCGAAAGCGUGGGGAGCAAACAGGAUUAGAUACCCUGGUAGUCCACGCG